Tachysurus fulvidraco (yellow catfish) is the source of this 3382-nucleotide RNA transcript. It is a transcript of the gene named HNF1 homeobox Ba, with no coding region annotated. The record is from RefSeq and is a predicted model, not a curated record. NCBI's taxonomy places the organism in Eukaryota, Metazoa, Chordata, Actinopteri, Siluriformes, Bagridae. The transcript is spliced from 10 exons.
UGGGGAAGUGGCUCGGCUUCAUCAAGCAGGUGUCUUUCUCAGGGGGACUUUUUACGCACUGGAGGUGGUGAGGAGAGGGAAUUUGAAGAGCUUAGGGUGUUCAUUUCUCUCUUUACCUCCUUAUCAAGGUGGGCAUUUUUUGCCUGCAAACAUGGUGUCCAAACUAACAUCUUUGCAGCAGGAGCUUUUAUCCGCCCUGUUAGACUCCGGAGUUACCAAAGAUGUUUUGAUCCAGGCGCUGGACGACAUGGAGCCGAGCCCGGCCAGUUAUGGAGUUAAACUGGAGAACCUUCACAUGUCUCCGUCGGCGGGUAAAACAAACGGCAGCGACGUGGAGGCCAAGCCGAUCUUUCAUAGUUUGACCAAUGGGCACAGUAAAGGGAAAUUGUCGGGGGACGAAUGCUCUGAAGACGGAGAUGAUUACGACACGCCGCCUAUCCUGAAGGAGCUGCAGUCUCUCAACACGGAGGAAGCGGCGGAGCAGCGCGCAGAGGUGGACCGCAUGUUGGCCGAGGACCCAUGGAGAGCCGCGCGCAUGAUCAAGGGCUACAUGCAGCAGCACAACAUUCCCCAGCGCGAAGUGGUCGACGUCACCGGCCUCAACCAAUCACAUCUCUCUCAGCACCUGAACAAGGGCACACCCAUGAAGACGCAGAAGCGCGCGGCUCUGUACACCUGGUACGUCAGGAAGCAGCGCGAGAUUCUGCGACAAUUCAACCAAGCAUCACAAGGGUCUGGCAGUAGCAUGACAGACAAAGUCAGUCAGGAUCAAGUGCUCCUUCUUUUCCCUGAGUUCACUCAGCCUGGACCGGGCAUGGGGCAGCCUGGAGAGGACGCUGGCACUGAACCUGCCCUCAAGAAACUCAGACGCAACCGCUUCAAGUGGGGGCCUGCAUCCCAGCAGAUCCUCUACCAAGCCUAUGAACGACAGAAGAACCCAAGUAAAGAAGAGCGGGAAACUCUGGUUGAUGAAUGCAAUCGGGCAGAGUGUCUCCAGAGAGGUGUGUCGCCAUCUAAAGCCCAAGGGCUUGGUACCAAUUUAGUCACAGAGGUGCGUGUUUACAACUGGUUUGCUAAUCGGCGCAAAGAAGAAGCCUUCAGACAGAAGCUGGCUAUGGAUGCCUAUGGAGGGCAAAGCAUCAACCCGCUCCUCACACACAGCUCGCCACACCAUUCCCAGGCCAGCACCUCUCCCCCCAGCAAGAUGCAAGCUAUAAGGUACAACCAUGGUCCCAGUGAUGUCAGCUCUUCCAGCACUAUCAAUCACCACAGCAUGACGAGCAGCCAGUCUGUAUUGCAGCAAGUCUCUCCCGGAGCCCUGGACCCAAGCCAUGGCCUGUUGUCACCUGACGCCAAGAUGAUCUCGGUAUCAGGUGGAGGUCUUCCACCAGUUAGCACCUUGACUAACAUCCACAGUUCCCACCAUGCUCACCAGCAAACACAGAACCUCAUUAUGCCCAUCUCUGGAGUAAUGGCCAUUGCACAGGGUCUGAGCUCAUCGCAGGCACAGACGGUGCCAGUUAUCAACAGUGUGGCAGGAAGCCUGGCCACCCUGCAGCCUGUGCAGUUCUCACAGCAGCUGCAUAACUCUCACCAACAGAGCCUCAUGCAACAGUCUCACAGCCACAUGAGCCAACAGCCCUUCAUGGCCACAGUUACACACUCACAUAACAUUUCUGACACGUGUGACACUUGGACCGCUGUUGCAUCUUUUUCACAGUGUACCCACACAAGCAGGAGCCACCGCAGUAUUCCCACCCGUCACGCUUUCCAUCCGCCAUGGUAGUAUCAGACAACAACAGCCUCAGCAGCCUCAGCUCAAUGUCCUCCUCCAAACAGGAUGCUCCUGUAAACAAGAUGGUGCAACUGGGGGGUCUCAACUGGUGUCCUCUGCAAGCCUGGUGAGCAUAUCCACCCGACUUCCUCAAUGCCUAGCAACAGGAGCACAUUUCUUCGGCUCUCUCCCUGCUGUAUCUGUGGCAACUCCUAAUCACUGGCAGCAGUGCACUGGAAGAUGAGCUGGUCACUAAUGUAGGGACUGAAAAAAAGAGGCGAGCAAUCAGAAAGGAGACUCUGAACAGCUUGGUCUAAUUGUACCAUGGAAAGAUGGGAGGAUUACCUGGAAAUUACUACAUCUGAUCAAUUUCCAAGCUAGUCUUUUAUAACAGUGUUUUGCUUCCAAACACCAAAAUAAAAAGAGGAUGAUUCUUAUAUCUUUUAGGAACAAAUGGAAAUGGUGUUAAACUGACAUGAUUUUGUAGUCUCACAUGGUUACUGUACCAAAUGCUAAAGGAUAACCAUUGCUCCAUUUCUGACCUUUUAAUGGACUUUAAGAGGCUUCUUCUCAUCCAGUCUCAGUCAGCAGUGAGCUCACCUAGACAUAGAUGUUGUGUAAUCAGUUUCCGGCAAAUGACAAUCAGCUUAUAUUAUUUUCAACAUGUGUCAAGUCUUUUUGGGUAGAACAUUACAGACUGAAUGUGUUGGAUUUUCCUGCAUUUACAUUGCAGUGGGUCUUCCAUUUGUGCGGUUAAUACAGUAUGACAAUAUGAAUAGUCACUGUUCUGUACAGCUGUAAAUAUGAAUGAUAUGAAUUAUAAGUCUUGAAACAUGUACAUAUUUCAGGUCCAUAUCUUUUUUUUUUUCAACAAACUGUGAUUUAGAAGUGACAAUCUUUAGAACAGAAAGGACUAUGCAAUAUACUGAAUAGCACAAACACAAAAUAGUGGGAUUAGCCCCUUAUCUGCAGUUUUUAAAACACUUACACCAGCAAAACUACAGGACAAAAGCCUGUCAAAGCCAAGCUGCAGAUAUUGCACAAGCACAUUGCAUUUUCCCCUUUUUCCUUUAUGGUGUUUGGGAAUGCCAUGAAAAUACCAUGAAAAUGAGACGUAACAUAAUGCUUUUAUUCUGUUUUAACAUUAUUCUGUUAUAAAUAGUAAUGAUGGUAUUACAGGCAGGUUAUUAAGAGCCUGUUGCUGUGUAUUAGAUGGAUAGUCACUGAGAGGCUUAUAACUGUUGUCUGUCAUCAGGCCAUAGUCACCAGGACAAACAGUAUUACCCACUUAUGCAACUCAGAAGUACACAAAACAUGAUGUAAUAACUCAUGAAGUCAAACACUAGACACCACAUGCAUUCGAUUUAUUUGUGGACUGCUAGACGUGGAAAAAGGAAGAAUGUGAUUUUGUUGGUUUGCUUUACUCUUGUAACUCCUGUUGUUCUUACUUUCCAAAAGGUCAUUUUAAAGUCAUUCUCAACACAAAUAAUUCGAUUUUCCCUGUCAUGUAUUAUUUUUGUAUAAAAUGAAAAUCAAACUUUUAAAAUCAUUAUUUAUACUGUGAGAGAGAAAAAAUGAUGUCUCAAGUAAAGGCUCUUUCUAAGACCA